GGACGAACGCUGGCGGCGUGCCUAACACAUGCAAGUCGAGCGAUGAAGUUCCUUCGGGAACGGAUUAGCGGCGGACGGGUGAGUAACACGUGGGCAACCUGCCUCAUAGAGGGGAAUAGCCUCCCGAAAGGGAGAUUAAUACCGCAUAAGAUUGUAGCUUCGCAUGAAGUAGCAAUUAAAGGAGCAAUCCGCUAUGAGAUGGGCCCGCGGCGCAUUAGCUAGUUGGUGAGGUAACGGCUCACCAAGGCGACGAUGCGUAGCCGACCUGAGAGGGUGAUCGGCCACAUUGGGACUGAGACACGGCCCAGACUCCUACGGGAGGCAGCAGUGGGGAAUAUUGCACAAUGGGGGAAACCCUGAUGCAGCAACGCCGCGUGAGUGAUGACGGCCUUCGGGUUGUAAAGCUCUGUCUUUGGGGACGAUAAUGACGGUACCUGAGGAGGAAGCCACGGCUA
This 455-nucleotide ribosomal RNA is filed under the name uncultured Clostridium sp. Its description in RNAcentral is "bacterial SSU rRNA". It matches the Rfam family "Bacterial small subunit ribosomal RNA", at positions 27 to 499 of the family's 1533-position model. Lineage: Bacteria; Bacillati; Bacillota; Clostridia; Eubacteriales; Clostridiaceae. The record is from RNAcentral.